AGCUACUAAGAGCGAAUGGUGGAUGCCUUGACUGGUAAAGGCGAUGAAGGACGUACUAGACUGCGAUAAGCUACGGGGAGCUGUCAAGAAGCUUUGAUCCGUAGAUUUCCGAAUGGGGCAACCCAAUGUAUAGAGAUAUACAUUACCUAUAUAGGAGCGAACGAGGGGAAUUGAAACAUCUUAGUACCCUCAGGAAAAGAAAUCAAUAGAGAUUGCGUCAGUAGCGGCGAGCGAAAGCGCAAGAGGGCAAACCCAGUGCUUGCACUGGGGGUUGUAGGACUGCAAUGUGCAAGAGGUGAGUUUAGCAGAACAUUCUGGAAAGUAUAGCCAUAGAGGGUGAUAGUCCCGUAUGCGAAAAACAAACCUUAGCUAGCAGUAUCCUGAGUAGGGCGGGACACGAGGAAUCCUGUCUGAAUCCGGGUCGACCACGAUCCAACCCUAAAUACUAAUACCAGAUCGAUAGUGCACAAGUACCGUGAGGGAAAGGUGAAAAGAACUGAGGUGAUCAGAGUGAAAUAGAACCUGAAACCAUUUGCUUACAAUCAUUCAGAGCCCUAUGUAGCAAUACAGGGUGAUGGACUGCCUUUUGCAUAAUGAGCCUGCGAGUUGUGGUGUCUGGCAAGGUUAAGCAAACGCGAAGCCGUAGCGAAAGCGAGUCUGAAUAGGGCGCUUAGUCAGAUGCUGCAGACCCGAAACGAAGUGAUCUAUCCAUGAGCAAGUUGAAGCUAGUGUAAGAACUAGUGGAGGACUGAACCCAUAGGCGUUGAAAAGCCCCGGGAUGACUUGUGGAUAGGGGUGAAAGGCCAAUCAAACUUCGUGAUAGCUGGUUCUCUCCGAAAUAUAUUUAGGUAUAGCGUUGUGUCGUAAUAUAAGGGGGUAGAGCACUGAAUGGGCUAGGGCAUACACCAAUGUACCAAACCCUAUCAAACUCCGAAUACCUUAUAUGUAAUCACAGCAGUCAGGCGGCGAGUGAUAAAAUCCGUCGUCAAGAGGGAAACAACCCAGACUACCAGCUAAGGUCCCUAAAUCUUACUUAAGUGGAAAACGAUGUGAAGUUACUUAAACAACCAGGAGGUUGGCUUAGAAGCAGCCAUCCUUUAAAGAAAGCGUAAUAGCUCACUGGUCUAGUGAUUUUGCGCGGAAAAUAUAACGGGGCUAAAGUAAGUACCGAAGCUGUAGACUU
Molecule: ribosomal RNA, 1183 nt
Filed under: Campylobacter coli 59-2
Lineage: Bacteria; Pseudomonadati; Campylobacterota; Epsilonproteobacteria; Campylobacterales; Campylobacteraceae
Description: bacterial LSU rRNA
Rfam family: Bacterial large subunit ribosomal RNA
Source: RNAcentral